This 253-nucleotide ribosomal RNA is filed under the name uncultured bacterium. RNAcentral describes it as "partial 16S ribosomal RNA". It matches the Rfam family "Bacterial small subunit ribosomal RNA", at positions 524 to 776 of the family's 1533-position model. The record is from RNAcentral.
UACGAAGGGGGCUAGCGUUGCUCGGAAUGACUGGGCGUAAAGGGCGCGUAGGCGGUUUGCACAGUCAGAUGUGAAAUUCCUGGGCUCAACCUGGGGGCUGCAUUUGAUACGUGUAGACUUGAGUGGGGAAGAGGGUCGUGGAAUUCCCAGUGUAGAGGUGAAAUUCGUAGAUAUUGGGAAGAACACCGGUGGCGGAGGCGGCGACCUGGUCCUUGACUGACGCUGAGGCGCGAAAGCGUGGGGAGCAAACAGG